This 441-nucleotide ribosomal RNA is filed under the name uncultured bacterium. RNAcentral describes it as "partial 16S ribosomal RNA". It matches the Rfam family "Bacterial small subunit ribosomal RNA", at positions 338 to 795 of the family's 1533-position model. The record is from RNAcentral.
CCUACGGGAGACAGCAGUGGGGAAUAUUGCACAAUGGGGGAAACCCUGAUGCAGCGACGCCGCGUGAGUGAAGAAGUAUUUCGGUAUGUAAAGCUCUAUCAGCAGGGAAGAAGAAAGACGGUACCUGCCUAAGAUGCCCCGGCUAACUCCGUGCCAGCAGCCGCGGUAAUACGUAGGGGGCCAGCGUUAUCCGGAUUUACUGGGUGUAAAGGGAGCGUAGACGGCUGUGCAAGUCUGAAGUGAAAGCCCAGGGCUCAACCCUGGGACUGCUUUGGAAACUGGGGGGCUAGAGUGCUGGAGAGGUGAGUGGAAUUCCUAGUGUAGCGGUGAAAUGCGUAGAUAUAAGGAGGAACACCAGUGGCGAAGGCGGCUCACUGGACUGUAACUGACGUUGAGGCUCGAAAGCGUGGGGAGCAAACAGGAUUAGAUACCCGAGUAGUC